ACGGGUGCGUAACACGUGGGCAAUCUGCCGAAAAGUGGGGGAUAGCUCGCCGAAAGGCGAAUUAAUACCGCAUGUGGUGAGGGACGACAUCUUCCUGAAUCCAAAGCCGGGGCAACCUGGCGCUUUUUGAGGAGCCCGCGGCCUAUCAGCUAGUUGGUGAGGUAACGGCUCACCAAGGCUAUGACGGGUAGCUGGUCUGAGAGGACGACCAGUCACACUGGAACUGAGACACGGUCCAGACACCUACGGGUGGCAGCAGUCGAGAAUUUUUCUCAAUGGGGGAAACCCUGAAGGAGCGACGCCGCGUGGAGGAUGAAGGCUUUCGGGUUGUAAACUCCUGUCAUUUGGGAACAAGGUGCACCGGUUAACUGCCGGAGUAUUGAUGGUACCAGAAGAGGAAGGGACGGCUAACUCUGUGCCAGCAGCCGCGGUAAUACAGAGGUCCCAAGCGUUGUUCGGAUUCAUUGGGCGUAAAGGGUGCGUAGGUGGCGCUGUAAGUCGGGUGUGAAAUUUCGGAGCUUAACUCCGAAACUGCAUUCGAUACUGCGGUGCUUGAGGACUGGAGAGGAGACUGGAA
RNAcentral lists this ribosomal RNA (577 nucleotides) under uncultured bacterium. RNAcentral describes it as "bacterial SSU rRNA". It matches the Rfam family "Bacterial small subunit ribosomal RNA", at positions 102 to 666 of the family's 1533-position model. The record is from RNAcentral.